Molecule: small RNA, 84 nt
Filed under: Marmota monax (woodchuck)
Lineage: Eukaryota; Metazoa; Chordata; Mammalia; Rodentia; Sciuridae
Source: RNAcentral
GCUGGGUGUGUUGGUGCAUGCCUGUAAUCCCAGCGAUUUUGGGAGGCUGAGGCAGGAGGAUUGUGAGUUCAAAGCCAGCCUCAG